UACGUUGUUAAUCUAAUCAUG
This is a non-coding RNA of Caenorhabditis elegans, 21 nucleotides long. The record is from Ensembl. Lineage: Eukaryota; Metazoa; Nematoda; Chromadorea; Rhabditida; Rhabditidae.